Molecule: unclassified non-coding RNA, 200 nt
Filed under: soil metagenome
Description: partial contains internal transcribed spacer 2 and large subunit ribosomal RNA
Source: RNAcentral
GCCGUUGAUAUCGACGCUCGUCUGAAAUGUCUGAGUGUACCCCGCUUUUGCGGCGUAUUCGGUGUGAUACAUCUUCACCGGAGUUGAUCCGAAAGGAUCGCGUCUGUAACGAGUGUGGCUCUAUGCUUCCAAACCGUCUCGACAGGGACAAUCUCUGACAAUUUGACCUCAAAUCGGGUGGGACUACCCGCUGAACUUAA